Molecule: unclassified non-coding RNA, 207 nt
Filed under: Musa balbisiana (Balbis banana)
Lineage: Eukaryota; Viridiplantae; Streptophyta; Magnoliopsida; Zingiberales; Musaceae
Description: partial external transcribed spacer
Source: RNAcentral
UGUUCACGUGAGUGCUCUUGGAUGCAGUGGAUAGGAAUGUCCCAUGGGUCUUUUGACUCUUGGCACACGAUCGGUUGGCUUUCUUAGUCGCCCUUCGACGGAUGACCGCCUUCCCAUCGUUGCUCCCCUUUCCCUUGUGGUAAUGGGUUGGCAUGUUGGGCUUGGCGUCGUUGAGGACGUGCUACCUGGUUGAUCCUGCCAGUAGUC